Molecule: RNA transcript, 1480 nt
Organism: Manihot esculenta (cassava)
Lineage: Eukaryota; Viridiplantae; Streptophyta; Magnoliopsida; Malpighiales; Euphorbiaceae
Exons: 7
Source: RefSeq, a predicted model, not a curated record
UCCAUAAACUGAGAAUCUGAAACUUUGAACUGAAUAUCAGUUUCUAAAAUGGAUUUGCCGGAAGGUAUCGGUCGGUUUCGCGUCGAACUAGACGAGUCGUAUCGGCCUCUCCCGUCAGUGUGCCUUGCGUUACUGACCAUCUGGUUGCUCUCUGCUUUUUCUUGGACUAUCAACACUUACAAAAACCGACACUUUCAGAUGAACAACCUGCAGUGGAUGCUGGCAUCUGUACCUUUGAUCAAAGCUGUGCAGCUCAUGCUUUCAUUUCUCUUUUGGUAUUCAUGCGUUUACCAUGAAAUAUGCUCGCUGUGGUUGUCAUUUGGGGUGUAUAUAACUGGCGUGCUUUUCCAAACAGCUUCUUUAGUGUCUUUUUUGCUCAUCUCUCAUGGUUACUGCAUCAUGUGUGAGCGUCUUUCAGCAACUGAGCGCCGUGCUACAGCUGCUCUUGGCUUUGUCUUUUACUUGUCCCUUGUAGGGUACAAAGCUUCUGUACCAUAUUUCACAGUUCUGCUGCUGCUGAAUUAUUUAAUUUCCUUCUAUCUGAUUUUCCACCUGAUAGCUCAAAAUCUAUCAGUUUUGAGUGAACAGCUAACCUUUAUAGAGGAUGAGGAUGUUCGAGAUAUGCAUGAUGCGGUGUAUACAAAGUAUAUUAUGUUCAAGAAAUUUCAGGGUGCAAUGCAAGUAGCAGCGAUAGCUGAAACUGUGGUGGACAUUUCGGUCAAAAGGCUUAGCUCCUCGAUUCUUUGUGAUGCCAACCAUAAAAUCUCAGGGGGAUAUGACGGUGCCUCCAGUUUACAGUGUUGUAAGUGGUAUCCCAUAUUUGGGCCUGAGACAAUAUUCCACAGUUUUGCUAAUGGAUCCUUUGCUUUGCUGUAGUAGAUAUUGAGAUCUGUAGAUUAGGGAAAUCAUUUUCCUCCUUGAUGCAUCUACUAUUUUAGUUUUCAUGGCGUAAAAGGGUUGAUUUUGGCUGUAAUGGAGCCUUUCAGUCCUAGUUAUUUACUUCACCCAAUACAUAGCCAAUACGUUCCUUAUAUGCUAACAAUCAGUAUGAGCUUUUGGAUUUGGCCGAGAUUAGCAUGAAAGACAAAUUUUCGUUUCAAAAUGCUCCAUGUUGCUCUAUCAUCUAUGCCGUGAUUUCCUAGUCCAGCAACAUAAGAAGAGUGUUCUGUUUUGCGUGUUGCCAUUCUAAUCACCUAUUGUUAUGUCAAAGAUUGGGCUAGAUGUUUGCCUCAUAUUCUGCAUUUCAUCUUAGGUUUUGUGGAGUGCUUUUGCCAGACACUAUGUCUCUCUUAUCCGAUGACCCAUCUGCUAAGACAAACUUCUAUUGCAGGAAAUGGACGCAGCCACUUUUAAAGAUUUUAAUUGUAACGAAUGGCACAUUGGAGUGCCAAUUUCUUCUUCUUGUGAUAAAAGCUCCAUGGAUUCAAUUGUAGUGGUAAUUCAGCAUCCUCAUCCACUAAGACUGCCAACUGCCACUACA